AACGAACGCUGGCGGCAUGCCUAAUACAUGCAAGUCGAACGAGAUCUUCGGAUCUAGUGGCGCACGGGUGCGUAACGCGUGGGAAUCUGCCCUUGGGUUCGGAAUAACUUCUGGAAACGGAAGCUAAUACCGGAUGAUGACGUAAGUCCAAAGAUUUAUCGCCCAAGGAUGAGCCCGCGUAGGAUUAGCUAGUUGGUGGGGUAAAGGCCCACCAAGGCGACGAUCCUUAGCUGGUCUGAGAGGAUGAUCAGCCACACUGGGACUGAGACACGGCCCAGACUCCUGGGGGGGCAGGAAGAGGGAAUUAUUGGAAAGUGGGCGAAGCCCUGACCCACCAUUCCCGGGUGAGGGAUAAGGCCUUUGGGUUUGUAAAGCUUUUUUCCCGGGGAGAAAAAGAAAAGUCCGGGGAGAAUAGGCCCCGCCAACCCCCGG
RNAcentral lists this ribosomal RNA (432 nucleotides) under uncultured bacterium. RNAcentral describes it as "partial 16S ribosomal RNA". It matches the Rfam family "Bacterial small subunit ribosomal RNA", at positions 29 to 507 of the family's 1533-position model. The record is from RNAcentral.